Molecule: ribosomal RNA, 490 nt
Filed under: uncultured bacterium
Lineage: Bacteria
Description: partial 16S ribosomal RNA
Rfam family: Bacterial small subunit ribosomal RNA
Source: RNAcentral
AUUGAACGCUGGCGGCAGGCCUAACACAUGCAAGUCGAACGGUAACAGGAAGCAGCUUGCUGCUUCGCUGACGAGUGGCGGACGGGUGAGUAAUGUCUGGGAAACUGCCUGAUGGAGGGGGAUAACUACUGGAAACGGUAGCUAAUACCGCAUAACGUCGCAGGACCAAAGAGGGGGACCUUAGGGCCUCUUGCCAUCGGAUGUGCCCAGAUGGGAUUAGCUAGUAGGUGGGGUAACGGCUCACCUAGGCGACGAUCCCUAGCUGGUCUGAGAGGAUGACCAGCCACACUGGAACUGAGACACGGUCCAGACUCCUACGGGAGGCAGCAGUGGGGAAUAUUGCACAAUGGGCGCAAGCCUGAUGCAGCCAUGCCGCGUGUAUGAAGAAGGCCUUCGGGUUGUAAAGUACUUUCAGCGGGGAGGAAGGGAGUAAAGUUAAUACCUUUGCUCAUUGACGUUACCCGCAGAAGAAGCACCGGCUAACUCCGUG